AUUGAACGCUGGCGGCGUGCCUAACACAUGCAAGUCGAGCGGUAAGGCCCUUUCGGGGGUACACGAGCGGCGAACGGGUGAGUAACACGUGGGUGACCUGCCUUUAGCUCUGGGAUAAGCCUGGGAAACCGGGUCUAAUACCGGAUAUGACUCCGCGGCGCAUGUUGUGGGGUGGAAAGCCUUGUGCGGCUGGAGAUGGGCCCGCGGCCUAUCAGCUUGUUGGUGGGGUGAUGGCCUACCAAGGCGACGACGGGUAGCCGGCCCUGAGAGGGCGACCGGCCACACUGGGACUGAGACACGGCCCAGACUCCUACGGGAGGCAGCAGUGGGGAAUCUUGCGCAAUGGGCGAAAGCCUGACGCAGCGACGCCGCGUGAGGGAUGACGGCCUUCGGUUG
Molecule: ribosomal RNA, 396 nt
Filed under: uncultured bacterium
Lineage: Bacteria
Description: bacterial SSU rRNA
Rfam family: Bacterial small subunit ribosomal RNA
Source: RNAcentral